Long non-coding RNA from Danio aesculapii, 912 nucleotides. RefSeq lists it as uncharacterized. The transcript has 4 exons. Lineage: Eukaryota; Metazoa; Chordata; Actinopteri; Cypriniformes; Danionidae. The record is from RefSeq and is a predicted model, not a curated record.
UUGUUAUUUUUUUAAUCAAAUUGCCUCCUCGUGUCGUGUUUUUUUAUAUCUGUUUCACCUGGACUCUUAAUUAUUGAUGAUACAAGCGUGCGCGCUUCAUAGCCGAUCUAUAUGCGGACAAAAACGCUUUCUCUACCUCCGUGUUCAUCUCUACAGUUGUUUGGGAGGAAAUGAUACACGUAUUUGAGAUAUUCCGCCGUUAAUAUCGUCUUUAGGACCCAGCAGAGACAUCAAACCGGAGUCGCGUCCAGUCUUGUUGAAGGUAUGUUAUGUUGUCUAAAAACACUGUCCUUUCGCUAGGAAACUAUAUUGUAACAAUUAAAUACUAAUAUAGACACAUAUAUGUGCUACAUUUUGUUCAGGAAGUUGCUAGUUUUCCCAAGAAGUACGGAAUCUGAGCAUUAUAUUAUUAUUGGUUAUUAAUCGCCGCUAGAGGGCGCUGAAUGGAUCGCAACGUGAGAAAGUUAUCCUGGACGAGCAGAGCAGAAGCUUGCUACAUCAUCUUUUAUCAGAAGAGGAUUCAUGAUCCAUUUCAAGGUUGCUCUGGACAGAGCGAGCUUUAAUCCUCCUUGAUAAUCUUGUUGAGAGAUUGCUCAGGACAGGUAUUUUAUACCCACACACCAAAGAAACUUUUUGAGGUUUGGGGAGAUGCAUCACUGCGGAUUCUCUCGUAUUGCAAAAAAGAAGAGAGCCUUGGAUAUACCAGUUCAAGCAAACAUUUCAUCUGACAGCCUUGGAGAUCCCACUUUGGAGAUGUCGCUUUAACAACUCAGCCAGCUAUCAUUUCUUCACUGCCAUACAGAUUGUGCAGCAAGAUGGUUCGGCCCUCAUACCAGGAUGAAAAACAAGAAUUUGUUGAUUUGCGACUUAUAGGUGCAUUAUUUAUGACAAUAAAUGCUGGACAUUAUUUAA